Panicum virgatum (switchgrass) is the source of this 1881-nucleotide RNA transcript. RefSeq lists it as uncharacterized. NCBI's taxonomy places the organism in Eukaryota, Viridiplantae, Streptophyta, Magnoliopsida, Poales, Poaceae. The record is from RefSeq and is a predicted model, not a curated record. The transcript has 3 exons.
AAGUGGACUCGUCUCUUUCUCCCCGGCCGGGCCUGCGGCCUGCCUUCCACGAUCGAUCCGCCCCUCCCCCCUCCCUUCCUAUUUGAAAGGAAUUCUCCUCGCCGCACCCAAAUCUCCCCCGCAUUCGAUUCGAUUCGAUUCGAUUCACCCAUCCAAUCCCCUACCCCAAAACCUCCGCCAACAAACAAACCCUAGCGAGCGAUCGCCAUGGACUUGGACCAGGACUCCGCCGACGAAUGGGUCGUCCUCGACUCGUGCACCUCCGACGACGACGACGACCUCGUUCUCGCGCUCUCCUCCGGCUGCGGCACCCCGGACUCGGCCACCGACUCCGACUCCGACUCCGCCGCUCCCGCCGCCCACCUCCUCGCCGCCGCCUGCGCCACCGCCGCCGACGACGCCGACGCCGACGCCGAGGGCGUCUACGCGCUCUCCGACGCCGAGGACGAGUACGCCUACCCGCCCCCGUCCCCGCCGCUGCCCCGGCCGCUCGCGGGCCUCUUCCACCACACGCUCGCCGGGGCCGUCAGCUACGCCGCCUUCGACCCCGCCGCGCCCGGGGACGCCCACCACGGCGCCAAGCAGCUCGUCCCGGACCCCACCUUCGCCUCCCUCAUCCACGAGGACGCCGCCGCGCUCGCCUCCACCCGCGGCCUCGUCUGCCUCCGCGGCAAGGCCUCCGGGGACUACUACGUCGCCAACCCGCGGGCCUUCACGACCGCGCGCCUCCCGCCCCCCGCGCGAGACCACUUCGCCAAGGGGGACCCCGCCGUCGUCAUCACCUUCGACGUCGACGCCGACGCCGACGACGCCGACGAGGACCGCGCCCGCGGCUUCUACCGCCACUACCACGUCGCCGUCGCCUUCCCCAUGGGGGAGGGCAUCUACGCCUUCGAGUCCUUCUCGUCCAGGACCGGGGAGUGGACCAUCGGCGCCGGGGUCGCCGCGGUCGAGACCGUCGUCCCGUUGUCCGGGGUCGCCGCGCACGGAUGCGCCUUCUGGCGCACCACCAUCGGACUCUUCCUCUGCUACGAGCCCGUCUCGGGAUGGUCGGACCUCGUCCCCGCGCCCGAGGAGGUGCAGCAGUGGCCCAUCUGGGAGCUCGGCGAGAUGGAGGGCACGCUCCGCGCCAUCUGCAUGGACGAACGCGUCAGCGCGGUCAUCGUCAUCCGCCUCGACUUCGCGCGCAGCGACGCCAACGGCGGCGUCGCGUGCACUCUGGCGGGCCACUUCGAGGGGGGCUGCCUCAGGGGACGCCAGGACGUCACGCUGCUGCGCUCGCAGGGCAAGGCCGAGGUCGUCAUGUGGGACCGCGCGGCACAGAUGGUCGUCGCCAUGGACCUCGAAGGACGCACCACGCGCACCAUCAGCUUCGUCCCCGGCACCGGCUACUACGCCGAUUUCAUCCCCUACGUCAGCUCAUUGGCCGCGGUCUCUGCCACCGGGUAAAGCAAUUCCAGCAAUCGGAUGCAACCUAAGUGUAGGACUAAUGCAACUAAUGAAGCUGGUGCUGAGGCUACUACUGAUGCUGAGCCGUAUUAGAGUAGUAAUAGCUAAAUCUGUACAAAAGCUGGAAUGAUUCAUUUUGAUGAUACGAAGGAAUAAUGAAAGCUUCCAGAGGUGUGCAGCAUAAGGGAAAGCGAAAAGCAGCAUUCUUUGAAGCGCAGUUUAGCCUGCUAGUAUCUCCAUCUUUUGCAGUGUCUCAAGUUGUGGUACAAACCAUGUACUAGCUCCUUUUAGUGUACAAAUGUAGGGAAAGGCCACUAUCCGGUUCCGUCUAAUAGUCAGUCCAAACUCCAAACUGGUUUAGCGAGUAGACGUUCUCUAGCCGUUUGACGUUCCUGAAUGAGAACUACGAUCUGGUACUUUUGAUGUGGUUUC